UACGGAGGAUGCGAGCGUUAUCCGGAUUUAUUGGGUUUAAAGGGAGCGCAGGCGGAGAUGCAAGCGUGACGUCAAAUUUCGGGGCUCAACCCCGUCUCGCGUCGCGAACUGCGUCCCUUGGUUGCGGGAAGGGGAGGCGGAACUCGUGGUGUGGCGGUGAAAUGCGCAGAUAUCAGGAGGAACACCGAUGGCGAAGGCAGGUCUCUGGGCCACUACUGACGCUGAGAAGCGAAAGCAUGGGGAGCGAACAGGAUUAGAUACCCU
Molecule: ribosomal RNA, 264 nt
Filed under: uncultured prokaryote
Description: partial 16S ribosomal RNA
Rfam family: Bacterial small subunit ribosomal RNA
Source: RNAcentral